Molecule: ribosomal RNA, 270 nt
Filed under: uncultured Eubacteriales bacterium
Lineage: Bacteria; Bacillati; Bacillota; Clostridia; Eubacteriales
Description: uncultured Clostridiales bacterium partial 16S ribosomal RNA
Rfam family: Bacterial small subunit ribosomal RNA
Source: RNAcentral
UUAGCUUGCUAAACUGAUAAACCUAGCGGCGGACGGGUGAGUAACGCGUGAGCAAUCUGCCUCAUACAGGGGGAUAACAGGUGGAAACACCUGCUAAUACCGCAUAAGACUCCACUACCGCAUGGUAGAGAAGUCAAAGGGAUUACCGGUAUGAGAUGAGCUCGCGUCCCAUUAGCUAGUUGGUAGGGUAAAGGCCUACCAAGGCGACGAUGGGUAGCCGACCUGAGAGGGUGAUCGGCCACACUGGGACUGAGACACGGCCCAGACUCC